This is a non-coding RNA of Callithrix jacchus (white-tufted-ear marmoset), 2097 nucleotides long. Lineage: Eukaryota; Metazoa; Chordata; Mammalia; Primates; Cebidae. The record is from RefSeq and is a predicted model, not a curated record.
CAGCUGCACAUCCUGGGGCUCCUGACCUCCUCACGUUUGCCGUGUAGCCUAAGUUGGUCAGCACUGGAGGACCUCAGCAGCCACGUCGAAGCCCCAUAGUGAAGCUGGGACUGCCUUCAUUCAGACCCAGCAGCUCCAUGCAGCCAUGGCUGACACAUUCCUGGAGCACACGUGCCGCCUGGACAUUGACUCACCACCCAUCACAGCCGGGAACACUGGCAUCAUCUGUACCAUUGGCCCAGCUUCCCGAUCCGUGGAGACGUUGAAGGAGAUGAUUAAGUCUGGAAUGAAUGUGGCUCGGCUGAACUUCUCUCAUGGAACUCAUGAGUACCACGCGGAGACCAUCGAGAACGUGCGCGCAGCCACGGAAAGCUUUGCUUCUGAUCCCAUCCCCUACCGGCUCGUUGCCGUGGCUCUGGACACUAAAGGACCUGAGAUCCAAACUGGCCUCAUCAAGGGCAGUAGCACAGCAGAGGUGGAGCUGAAGAAGGGAGCAACUCUCAAAAUCACGCUGGAUAAUGCCUACAUGGAAAAGUGUGACAAGAACAUCCUGUGGCCGGACUACAAGAACAUCUGCAAGGUGGUGGAAGUGGGCAGCAAUAUCUAUGUGGAGGAUGGGCUUAUUUCCCUCCAGGUGAAGCAGAAAGGUGCUGACUUCCCGGUGAUGGAGGGAAAAAAUGGUGGCUCCUUGGGCAGCAAGAGGUGUGUGAACCUUCCUGGGGCUGCUGUGACUUGUCUGCUGUGUCAGAGGACAUCCAGGACCUGAAGUUUGGGGUCGAGAGGGAUGUCGAUAUGGUGUUUGCAUCAUUCAUCCGCAAGGCCUCUGAUGUCCACGAAGUGAGGAAGGUCCUGGGAAAGAAGGGACAGAACAUCAAGUAAUCAGCAAAAUCGAGAAUCAUGAGGUGGUUUGGAGGUUUGAUGAAAUCCUGGAGGCCAGUGAUGGGAUCACGGUGGCUCGUGGUGAUCUAGGCAUUGAGAUUCCUGCGGUGAAGGUCUUCCUUGCUCAGAAGAUGAUUGGGCGGUGAAACUGAGCUGGGAAGCCUGUCAUCUGUGCCACUCAUGCUGGAGAGUGUGAUCAGGAAGCUCCGCCCCACCCAGGCUGACGGCAGUGAUGUGGCCAGUGCAGUCCUGGAUGGAGCCGACUGCAUUAUGCUGUCUGGAGACAGCCAAAGGAGACUAUGCUCUGGAGGCUGUGCGCAUGCAGCACCUGACUGCCUGCAAGGCAGAGGCCGCCAACUAACACUUUUAAUUAUUUGAGGAACUCUACCACCCGGUGCCCAUUACCAGUGACCCACAAAAGCCAUCGCCGUGGGUGCCGUGGAGGCCUCCUUCAGGUGCUGCAGUGGGGCCAUAAUCAUUCUCACUGAGUCUGGCAGUUCUGCUCACCAGGUGCCCCUAUCAUUGCUCUGACAUGGAAUCCCCAGACAGCCCGUCAGGCCCACCUGAACUGUGGCAUCUUCCCUGUGCUGUGCAAGGACCCAGUCCAGGAGGCCUGGGCUGAGGACGUGGAGCUCUGGGUGCACUUGCCUAUGAAUGUUGGCAAGGCCCAAGGCUUCCUCAAGGAGAUGUGGUCAUUGUGCUGACUGGAAGGUAAACCGGCUCCGGCUUCACCAACACCAUGAAUGUUGUUUCUGUGCCAUCUCCAGAGCCCCUCCUCCAGUCCCUGCUCCACCCUCUUCCCCCAACCCAUCCAUUAGGCCAGCAUCAAUCGCUCGUAGAGCUCACUCUGGGCUGCAGUGUGGCACCGAUGGGCUGGGAUACCAGAGAAGAUCAACGCCUUGCUGAAACAUGGCUGUGUUUACAGUCUGCUCUGGUGGGACCGCCCAGAGCCUGGCUGCCCAUCAUGUGACCCCACCCAAUCAAGGGAAGAAGGAGGAAUGCUGGACUGGAGGCGCCAGGAGCCAGAUGGCAAGAGGGUGACAGCUUCCUUUCCUGUGUCUGUUCGAUCCCUUUAGAAAAUGGAUGCCCAGAGGACUCCCAACCAUCUGGAGUCAGGAAACAGCAAGCAAGAGUUAGGGGCCUUAAGUGCACAGAGCAGUUGUUCUUUUUAAGCCAACUCUGGCCCUGGCCCUUACUUGCUUCCCCAACCCCCUGGGC